GAUGAAGAACGCAGCGAAAUGCGAUAAGUAGUGUGAAUUGCAGAAUUCAGUGAAUCAUCGAAUCUUUGAACGCACAUUGCGCCCCUUGGUAUUCCAUGGGGCAUGCCUGUUCGAGCGUCAUUUGUACCUUCAAGCUCUGCUUGGUGUUGGGUGUUUGUUCCGCCUCUGUGUGUGAACUCGCCUCAAAACAAUUGGCAGCCGGCGUACUUGUUUCGGAGCGCAGCACAUUUUGCGAUCCAGAUCAACGUACAGCGGCAUCCAAGAAGCCUUAUUUAACGCUCUUGACCUCGGAUCAGGUAGGGAUACCCGCUGAACUUAAGCAUAUCAAUAAGCGGAGGA
This 339-nucleotide unclassified non-coding RNA is filed under the name soil metagenome. Its description in RNAcentral is "partial contains 5.8S ribosomal RNA, internal transcribed spacer 2, and large subunit ribosomal RNA". The stretch from base 1 to 120 matches the Rfam family "5.8S ribosomal RNA", at positions 35 to 154 of the family's 154-position model. The record is from RNAcentral.